RNAcentral lists this ribosomal RNA (428 nucleotides) under uncultured bacterium. Its description in RNAcentral is "partial 16S ribosomal RNA". It matches the Rfam family "Bacterial small subunit ribosomal RNA", at positions 354 to 796 of the family's 1533-position model. The record is from RNAcentral.
GUGGGGAAUAUUGGGCAAUGGGGGAAACCCUGACCCAGCAACGCCGCGUGAGGGAAGAAGGUUUUCGGAUUGUAAACCUCUGUCCUUGGUGACGAAGGAAGUGACGGUAACCAAGGAGGAAGCCCCGGCUAACUACGUGCCAGCAGCCGCGGUAAUACGUAGGGGGCAAGCGUUGUCCGGAAUGACUGGGCGUAAAGGGCGUGUAGGCGGCCGAUUAAGUCUGGAGUGAAAGUCCUGCUUUCAAGGGUGGAAUUGCUUUGGAGACUGGUUGGCUUGAGUGCGGAAGAGGUAAGUGGAAUUCCCAGUGUGGCGGUGAAAUGCGUAGAGAUUGGGAGGAACACCAGUGGCGAAGGCGACUUGCUGGGCCGUAACUGACGCUGAGGCGCGAAAGCGUGGGGAGCGAACAGGAUUAGAAACCCGAGUAGUCC